AUGUGGUGGUCCUUGAUCUAUCUCUCUUGUCUGCUGGCACUGACCAUGACAAGCUUUCCUUCCACCCACUGUCGGAUGACCUGAUUAACCAUAUCAACAGGCAGAGUACAACAUGGCAGGCUGAACACAACUUCUACAAUGUUGACAUAAGCUAUCUGAAGAAGCUGUGUGGUACCAUUCUGGGUGGACCCAAGCUGCCGGAAAGGGUUGGGUUCGGUGAGGAUAUCAAUCUACCUGAAACCUUUGAUACACGGGAACAGUGGUCCUACUGCCCCAUCAUCGAACAGAACCAGGGGUUCUGCUGCUUUCGUUGGGAAUUUGGGGCAGUGGGAGCCAUUUCUGACCAAAUCUGCCUUCACACCAAUGGCCAAGUCAACAUGGAGGUGUCUGCUGAGGACCGGCUUACCCGUUGUGGUAUGCAGUGUGGGGAUGGCUGUAAUGGUGGCUAUCCCUCUGGAACAUGGGCUUUUGGACGAUAAAAGGCCUGGUUUCUGGCAGAGUCUACAAUUCUCAUGAAGGUUGCUUACCAUACACCAUCCCUCCCUGUGAGCAUCAAGUAGAUGGCUCUCAUCUCCUGUGUAUUGGAGAAGGAGAUACUUCCAGAAGCAAUAAGAGCUUUGAGGCUGGCUACUUCCCCAUCCUAUAAAGAAGAUAAGCACUAUGGGUACACUUGCCACCACGUGUUUGAAAGCGAGGAGAUCAUGGCAGAAAUCUAGAAAAAUGGCCCAGUGGAGGGUGCCUUCACUGUGUUUGCUGGCUUUUUGACUUAUAAGUCAGGAGUAUACAAGCAUGAAACUGGUGAUAUGAUGGGUGGCCAUGCCAUCUGCAUUCUAGGCUGGGCAGUAGAGAAUGGAGUUCCCUUCUGGCUGGGAGCCAACUCUUGGAACAUUGACUGGGGUGAUAGUAGCUUCUUUAAAUCCUCAGAGGAGAGAACCACUGUGGGAUUGAAUCAGAAAUUUCCGCUGAAAUCCCACACACUGACCAGUACUGGGGAAGAUUCUAA
Molecule: non-coding RNA, 1003 nt
Organism: Mus caroli (Ryukyu mouse)
Lineage: Eukaryota; Metazoa; Chordata; Mammalia; Rodentia; Muridae
Source: RefSeq, a predicted model, not a curated record